Molecule: transfer RNA, 65 nt
Filed under: Parachauliodes yanbaru
Lineage: Eukaryota; Metazoa; Arthropoda; Insecta; Megaloptera; Corydalidae
Description: tRNA-Trp
Source: RNAcentral
AAGGCUUUAAGUUAACUAAACUAAUAGCCUUCAAAGCUAUAAAUAAAGAAAUUCUUUAAGCCUUA